AACGAACGCUGGCGGCAGGCUUAACACAUGCAAGUCGAGGGGAAACGACAUCGAAAGCUUGCUUUUGAUGGGCGUCGACCGGCGCACGGGUGAGUAACGCGUAUCCAACCUGCCCAUCACUUGGGGAUAACCUUGCGAAAGUAAGACUAAUACCCAAUGAUAUCUCUAGAAGACAUCUGAAGGAGAUUAAAGAUUUAUCGGUGAUGGAUGGGGAUGCGUCUGAUUAGCUUGUUGGCGGGGUAACGGCCCACCAAGGCGACGAUCAGUAGGGGUUCUGAGAGGAAGGUCCCCAACAUUGGAACUGAGACACGGUCCAAACUCCUACGGGAGGCAGCAGUGAGGAAUAUUGGUCAAUGGGCGAGAGCCUGAACCAGCCAAGUAGCGUGCAGGAUGACGGCCCUAUGGGUUGUAAACUGCUUUUAUAAGGGAAUAAAGUGGGAGUCGUGACUCCUUUUGCAUGUACCUUAUGAAUAAGGACCGGCUAAUUCCGUGCCAGCAGCCGCAGUAA
RNAcentral lists this ribosomal RNA (508 nucleotides) under uncultured bacterium. RNAcentral's name for it is "partial 16S ribosomal RNA". It matches the Rfam family "Bacterial small subunit ribosomal RNA", at positions 29 to 523 of the family's 1533-position model. The record is from RNAcentral.